UGAGGUAGAGGUCGCGGAUAUAAAGAGUACGCGCGUGGAGACGUUAGAGCCGUCUAUGAAUCGCGUCGAAAGGAAUAUCUGCCGAAGUUUGCACUGUCGCUCAUACAGCGGUGCAGGCUGGGGCCGUUGCCGAAAGGCACGGAACUGUCACAUUAUAUGACCUGCAUAAGUAUAAGUAGCAGGUCAUAAUGUGUUGCGCUAUC
This 203-nucleotide non-coding RNA is filed under the name Paenibacillus odorifer. RNAcentral describes it as "Lysine riboswitch". It matches the Rfam family "Lysine riboswitch aptamer". Rfam says of the family: Riboswitches are metabolite binding domains within certain messenger RNAs that serve as precision sensors for their corresponding targets. Allosteric rearrangement of mRNA structure is mediated by ligand binding, and this results in modulation of gene expression. The record is from RNAcentral. Lineage: Bacteria; Bacillati; Bacillota; Bacilli; Caryophanales; Paenibacillaceae.